CCAAGUGUGGCACAGUAGGUAGGGCGCUCAGCAUGCGAAACACUGAGAGGUCGUUGGUUCGAUUCCAACCGCUUGGACCA
RNAcentral lists this transfer RNA (80 nucleotides) under Caudoviricetes sp. RNAcentral's name for it is "tRNA-OTHER". It matches the Rfam family "tRNA". From Rfam's summary of the family: Transfer RNA (tRNA) molecules are approximately 80 nucleotides in length. Their secondary structure includes four short double-helical elements and three loops (D, anti-codon, and T loops). Further hydrogen bonds mediate the characteristic L-shaped molecular structure. tRNAs have two regions of fundamental functional importance: the anti-codon, which is responsible for specific mRNA codon recognition, and the 3' end, to which the tRNAs corresponding amino acid is attached (by aminoacyl-tRNA synthetases). tRNAs cope with the degeneracy of the genetic code in two manners: having more than one tRNA (with a specific anti-codon) for a particular amino acid; and 'wobble' base-pairing, i.e. permitting non-standard base-pairing at the 3rd anti-codon position. Lineage: Duplodnaviria; Heunggongvirae; Uroviricota; Caudoviricetes. The record is from RNAcentral.